RNAcentral lists this transfer RNA (72 nucleotides) under Varroa destructor (honeybee mite). RNAcentral's name for it is "tRNA-Cys". The record is from RNAcentral. Lineage: Eukaryota; Metazoa; Arthropoda; Arachnida; Mesostigmata; Varroidae.
UUUUUUAAAAUCAGUUUUUAAUUUGCAAUUAAAUUUAUAAUUUGAUUUUUAUUAAUAAAUUUAUGCGGAUUU